Long non-coding RNA from Glycine soja, 598 nucleotides. RefSeq lists it as uncharacterized. Lineage: Eukaryota; Viridiplantae; Streptophyta; Magnoliopsida; Fabales; Fabaceae. The transcript has 2 exons. The record is from RefSeq and is a predicted model, not a curated record.
CCCCCUUUUGAAGUUUUUGAAAUUAAAAGAUUUUUUUUUAAACAGAACAGAAGACGUAUUGUCUUCUUCAUGUGAAUUGUGUUUUCAGACUGAUGUGGAUGUUUGAUAAAUCAGAAAAUAGUGUCCUUGGAUGUGGCUUCCUCUAUUUAAUGAGAUCUUCAUGGAAUAGAUCGAACUAUUUUGAAUCGUGCACUGAAACUAUUAGAACAGAAGGGAAAACUUGUGGUCUUUAAAGGAACUUCAACUGAUGAUGAAGGAGUUAAAUUUUCUAUAUAAUUGUUUUGUGAAUUAAUCUAUUGAAUCUUUGGGGAUUUUACAAGUCAUCAACAGGGGAAUCUUUUGCUAUCUAUUUAAUGAGUUUGUUGAUGUGCAAGAUGUGUAAGAACAAGCUGUAGUAAAUUGCUAUCAAUUUUCAUUUCGGGAGCUUUGCUGUGUUAAUUGCUUUGUGGCUAUUCGUAGUAAAAUUAGUGAAAUUAUGCUCCCUGUGAAAUCAUUAAAUUCGUAAAUUGAAGGAGGGAUUCCAAUGUGCCAAAAGCUAUCCUGGUAUCAAACAUUGAUAUUAUUAAAAAUAAUGAAGUUGCUUCUGUGUCAAUGGUUA